RNAcentral lists this unclassified non-coding RNA (352 nucleotides) under soil metagenome. RNAcentral's name for it is "partial contains 5.8S ribosomal RNA, internal transcribed spacer 2, and large subunit ribosomal RNA". The stretch from base 1 to 120 matches the Rfam family "5.8S ribosomal RNA", at positions 35 to 154 of the family's 154-position model. The record is from RNAcentral.
GAUGAAGAACGCAGCGAAAUGCGAUACGUAGUGUGAAUUGCAGAAUUCAGUGAAUCAUCGAAUCUUUGAACGCACAUUGCGCCCUUUGGUAUUCCAAAGGGCAUGCCUGUUCGAGCGUCAUUUGUACCUUCAAGCUUUGCUUGGUGUUGGGCGUCUUUUUGUCUCUCCUUUGCGGGAGACUCGCCUUAAAACGAUUGGCAGCCGGCCUACUGGUUUCGGAGCGCAGCACAUUUUUUGCGCUUUGCAUCAGGAGAAAAGGACGGUACUCCAUCAAGACGUUUACAUUUUUCACUUUUGACCUCAGAUCAGGUAGGGAUACCCGCUGAACUUAAGCAUAUCAAUAAGCGGAGGA